UUACAGGUGGACCCCAUGUGUCAUUUCCUCCACUCUUCCCUCUCCACAACCGUCUCCAAUUAGUGCUUGCUGCACGAUCAGAGAAACCGGCAUCUCCCCCACGUUGCUUGGCCUCUCGCCUUAGGCCCUGUAGCACUACCCCGCCAACCCUCCAGGGAACGCACUCGCUUCUGCUCAUCCAACACCCUUCUCCUAGGCGGUCCUGCAUCCCCCAUAUGGCGCUUUUCCCCUUUGUCCUUGGUCAGCGGCGGUGCUGCAGCCCGGUGCAAUACUCGUAUCCUCGACGCUCGCCAAGUGCUUGACGAAAGGCCAGCAAGCUCUGCUCCCUUUCCCGCGAUCCUCAGUCGGCGCUUCCUCUCUCCUCCAUGAUUGAGUGCGUCCGUGCUGCAGCCUCGACGUCGUCCGCCUCCUGGUGCCCCAUUGUGCGGUCGUGACGUUCACUGUCCGCAUCCGCGUUUCGCCGUUCGUCGUUGGCUCGCCUCGCCGUCGCUUCGCGUCAUGCGCGCAGCACGUUGUCGUGCCUCGCCACUAGCUUGUUUGGCCGUCUGCCGUCGUUGCAAGACUGCGAUCUAUUUCCGAGCUUCAAAGAAUCGACAGUCAAGCUUGGCGACCAACGGAUCGAACUCUUCGAGUUCUACGAGGCUGAAGAUCCUGAGCAUCUGUUUGGUGAAGGCAAGUGUCCUCUGACCCAUUAUGUCCCAUUUACUUUAUAAUACACUGUCUCGCAUACUAUGAACAACCUAAGGAUUUACUAGCUUUCUAUUUACCUUGUCCUUGAUUUACCUUUUGGGUUACUAUGGUUAGCUUCAUGCUAGCGCUUUACUUUAAUCAAUGAACAUGAUGAGAUACAAUGAUGAUACUAUGAUUUUAUUCUGGAUAUGAUGAUAUACUUGUGGCAUUUAGGGGACUCGAGCAGUUUCUCGAGUGCCUCUCCGUAAGGACCUGUUCGUUGAGAGACCACCCGGGAUAACAGUGCAACCAUGAGGGUGAAAUGGGAGGCCCUUAGCUAAUUAAUUAGAGGAACUAGAGGUGUAGUUGCUUUGCCGUCGUGCCGUCAAUGGGGUACAGGCACAGUGCUUGCUCUGCCGAGGCUGGGUGCCGAGGUUCUUUCGUUUUGCUUUUGUUAGUCACCCCCCUUCGGGGAGAGGUACUGUGUUUAUCAAACUGGAGAAACCUAAUGGGUGGCUAGGACCUCUAGGGAAUCUUUGUAAAAGCUACGUAGUGAUACCCUGCCGGACCACCUAGGAAGUGAUCAAUGGGGAGUCAUGAUCCCCGGGCAAAACGGGAAUCACGGCUCAUGGGUAAAGUGUGCGACCUCUGCAGAGGGAAUGAAACUGAUAUAUCAGCCGUGCUCACGGUUAUGAGCGGCCUUGGGAUCCUCUUUGAUUAGAGAUACAGAUGAUCUUAGAUACAAUGGUUCUAUUUAUGGUUUUGGUUCGAUGAUAAUAAUGAUGUUCCUCGAUGAGGAAAUGAUUCACGGGUUGGUUAUUACUAAAACUUGGCUUCCACUAAUAAUAAAUACUUGACCAACUAAAAGCAACUGCUUUGACCUUAACCCCACAUAAAGCUAGUCCACCUCAGCCAAAUGGGACAUUUGCUGAGUACGUUGAUGUGUACUCACCCUUGCUUUCACAAAACACCAGGUUGCCUUUGGUGCAAUCUAUGCUCAGGUAAAGAAGAAGGCGUCGAGGCGGAUCUCCAGGAGUUCCAGGGCUUCGGCGAGUUCGAGGAUUAGGCUAGCGACCUCCCCCAGUCAGCUGCCUGUGGUGGGUUUAUUUACGUUGGCUACGUUUCUACUCUGUGUACUUUGAUUAUAUUAUGUAAAUGACUCUAGUCUGUAAUAUUAUUACUUACUCUUUAUUGUGAUUUGAAGCAUUGUGCUAUGAUGAGUCAUUUAU
Zea mays is the source of this 1898-nucleotide long non-coding RNA. RefSeq lists it as uncharacterized. Lineage: Eukaryota; Viridiplantae; Streptophyta; Magnoliopsida; Poales; Poaceae. The record is from RefSeq and is a predicted model, not a curated record. The transcript has 3 exons.